This 414-nucleotide ribosomal RNA is filed under the name Botryosphaeria dothidea. RNAcentral describes it as "eukaryotic LSU rRNA". The stretch from base 87 to 240 matches the Rfam family "5.8S ribosomal RNA". The record is from RNAcentral. Lineage: Eukaryota; Fungi; Ascomycota; Dothideomycetes; Botryosphaeriales; Botryosphaeriaceae.
UCCCGGGGGGGUGGCCAGCGCCCGCCAGAGGACCAUCAAACUCCAGUCAGUAAACGAUGCAGUCUGAAAAACAUUUAAUAAACUAAAACUUUCAACAACGGAUCUCUUGGUUCUGGCAUCGAUGAAGAACGCAGCGAAAUGCGAUAAGUAAUGUGAAUUGCAGAAUUCAGUGAAUCAUCGAAUCUUUGAACGCACAUUGCGCCCUUUGGUAUUCCGAAGGGCAUGCCUGUUCGAGCGUCAUUACAACCCUCAAGCUCUGCUUGGUAUUGGGCACCGUCCUUUGCGGGCGCGCCUCAAAGACCUCGGCGGUGGCGUCUUGCCUCAAGCGUAGUAGAACAUACAUCUCGCUUCGGAGCGCAGGGCGUCGCCCGCCGGACGAACCUUCUGAACUUUCUCAAGGUGACCUCGAUCAGU